CCAAUAAGAAAAGUCAGUUGGAAAAACAUCCUAAUAUUCACAUAUGAGUUAUUCUACCUCUUUAGCUCCUCUCACUACUUUUUCUACUAUUGACAUUGUCAUAAUACGUGAAGUCUUGCUUGAGAAUGCUCCGGACACCUGACCGUAGAAGGAAGAAUGGAAAUUGUAAUAACAAAGUCCUAAUUCUAAUAGAAUACUAAAAAUACUCUAAUUAGACCAUAAUAAUGCUAAACAAGCUUAAUCAAAUUCAAAAAAAUCUCAAAGAAAUUUCAAACAAACAAUAAGAAUUCUUAAAGAAAUAUUAGAGGGAUCACAAAUAUCACUCAAAUACAUCUCAAUUCAAUCUUAAUUUAACUCUAGUUAAAAUCCUAUUGAAUUUCAUUCAAACUAUAGGCCAAAACUAAUUAAAUCUUAAAUCCUAAAUUAAACCCUAAACCAAAUUCUAACCCUAAAUCAAAUCCUAAUCCAAAUCCUAAAUCCUAAACCAAACCCUAACCAAAUCCUAAACUCUAAAUCCUAAAUCAAACUCUAAUCCAAACUCUAAUCAAACCUUAAACCAAACCCUAAACCAAAUCCUAACCAAACCCUAACCAAAUCCUAAACCAAACCCUAGUAAUUCCUACAAUAGAUUUAAACCUCAAUAACUAAUGAAUAAAUUGUUGAUCUUAAUUCAAAUUUUUCACAUUUCUAAAAAAAAAAGUUGAAAAAAAACACAAAAAAAUUGAAAAAGAUCGGAGUUACGAAAUUGAUGAUAACCUCAAAAAUAUGCUCGGGUAUUGGUCGGCCUCCUUCUCCAAUCUUGAUGCCAAUCUUCCAGAGUCAAUAUCU
Molecule: long non-coding RNA, 828 nt
Filed under: Physcomitrium patens
Lineage: Eukaryota; Viridiplantae; Streptophyta; Bryopsida; Funariales; Funariaceae
Description: long non-coding RNA (PPAT_LNC008922)
Source: RNAcentral